CUUCCUGGUCCCUGGCUUUGCCUUUUCCGCUGAGCUGAUGCUUGGAAUGUACCCGGUGCCUGCAAUGUGACUCUUUUUCUUUUUCCCAAGACAGAGUUUCUCUGUCCUGGAGCCCUCUCUGGAGACCAGGCUGGCCUCCAACUCAGAGAUCCUCCUGCCUCUGCCUCUCGAGUUCUGGGACCGCCAUCUGACUGUGACUCUCUCUGUUCUUGGCAGUCAGAAAGUACUUCAGCGUUGCAGCUCACAGAGGAAAUGAGCUAUGCAGAGGGAACUGGGAAGACCAUCGGGAGGAGACCACUGAAGGGGACCCUAGCCUGACAUUUCAGAAAGUAGAUAUCUGUCCCUCCUGACUGGAAUGCCCUCUCAUGCCAUGGAGCACUCUCUUCAGGGAAUCUUGGGUUCUUUCUCCAUGUCACUUCAUUCACACGUCCAGUCCUUGCCCAGGAAGGCUGCUGCGGCUCAAGCCAUCACAUCCACACCCCAGCUGCAGAAGGAGUUAGAGAAGCUGCUCCUGAGGGGCAUGCCUGUGAGACUGUACACACCGCAUCCUCCCACUUACACUUCUUUGGCCAGAAGACAGCUGGACUUUGCGAGGAAGACUAGUCUUUAUUUUGGGAGUCCACAUGUUUGGUUCACAGGACAUAACAUGGUAUUGGAGUCACCACGGAAACCAAGGGUCAUCACUCUGUUCUCAGCUCACAAGGCUUCUUCUUUUUCUGUCUCUCCAUACUAGUUUUUAAACCAAGGUAAGAUUUUUUAUACAGUUGGAUGUGCAGAUUUUAAGACUAUAAUUUGCUGAGUCUGGCCCAGUGUAUCUUCCCACGAUCUCUAUUGAGGCAUAAGACAUUUAUUUCCAUUACCCCAGAAAGUGCCCCCUCCUUGAAAAGCAACUAUGAUGGGAUUGUGGUCACCAUCAGGGGCUUUGGCCAGAUUUUGUCCUUUAUGUAAGCCGAGUCCUCUACAGGGUGUAUUCUCUUGGGUCUAGCUUCUCCCCUCAGCCCACCAGUCUCAAAGUUUAUCCACGAGGGAGAACAGACCAGCAGCUGCUGCCAUGUCCUGUGGCCCACUGCGGUUGACCUGUUCUGUUCCUGGGUUUGUUAGUUAUUUUAUUUCCAGCUUUGGUUAUUCUAACUACAAUUGUUAUAAAUGUGUAUCUAUGUAGUACACAUAUGCACACAUAUAUGUUUUUUUGUAGAUAUUUGCUUUCAUUUCUCUUGGAUAAGUGUAUAAUCACUAGUUUGUAUGGUAGGUAUGCAUUUUACUCUAUAAGAAAUCAUGACAGGAUAAGACAGGGCAAGGGUUCCUCCAUCUUAUACUCUGGUUGACGCCAUUCCAGGUUUAACUAGAAUUUGAUCUCCUUGAAGAGAAGCCCUGUGGGAAAUUACCCAGCUCUACUCUAGGAACCAAAGGGCAAGAGGCCCAAGCUAACUUAUUUCAGCUUCUGUUAAACUGCUUGCUUGUGCAAACUUCCACAUCCAGCUACAGAGUGUGAUGCCAGGAUGUGGUUUCUGUCUUUAAAAUCUCCCUUGUCUAAAUGCUCAGCGCUACACUUGGGUUUCCAAAUACCUGAGUGUAGCCCCAGCUGGCUGGAAUAAAUACUUUCAACCGGCUAUAAA
This is a non-coding RNA of Cricetulus griseus (Chinese hamster), 1616 nucleotides long. Lineage: Eukaryota; Metazoa; Chordata; Mammalia; Rodentia; Cricetidae. The record is from RefSeq and is a predicted model, not a curated record.